CUACGGGUUGCUCCAGUGGGGAAUAUUGCACAAUGGGGGAAACCCUGAUGCAGCGAUGCCGCGUGAACGAAGAAGGCUUUCGAGUCGUAAAGUUCUGUUCUUAGGGAAGAAAAUGACGGUACCUAAGGAGAAAGCGCCGGCUAAAUACGUGCCAGCAGCCGCGGUAAUACGUAUGGUGCAAGCGUUGUCCGGAAUUACUGGGCGUAAAGAGUUCGUAGGCGGUCAAAUAAGUCAGGAGUGAAAGGCUACGGCUCAACCGUAGUGAGCUUUUGAAACUGUUUGACUUGAGUACUGGAGAGGAAAGUGGAAUUCCUAGUGUAGCGGUGAAAUGCGUAGAUAUUAGGAGGAACACCAGUGGCGAAGGCGGCUUUCUGGACAGUAACUGACGCUGAGGAACGAAAGCGUGGGGAGCAAACAGGAUUAGAUACCCCUGUAGUC
Molecule: ribosomal RNA, 438 nt
Filed under: uncultured bacterium
Lineage: Bacteria
Description: partial 16S ribosomal RNA
Rfam family: Bacterial small subunit ribosomal RNA
Source: RNAcentral